RNAcentral lists this ribosomal RNA (450 nucleotides) under uncultured bacterium. Its description in RNAcentral is "bacterial SSU rRNA". It matches the Rfam family "Bacterial small subunit ribosomal RNA", at positions 29 to 524 of the family's 1533-position model. The record is from RNAcentral.
AACGAACGCUGGCGGCAGGCCUAACACAUGCAAGUCGAACGCGUCCUUCGGGACGAGUGGCAGACGGGUGAGUAACGCGUGGGAACGUACCCUUUGGUUCGGAACAACAGCGGGAAACUGCUGCUAAUACCGGAUAAGCCCUUCGGGGGAAAGAUUUAUCGCCAGAGGAUCGGCCCGCGUUAGAUUAGCUUGUUGGUGAGGUAAUGGCUCACCAAGGCUACGAUCUAUAGCUGGUCUGAGAGGAUGAUCAGCCACACUGGGACUGAGACACGGCCCAGACUCUUACGGGAGGCAGCAGUGGGGAAUCUUGGACAAUGGGCGAAAGCCUGAUCCAGCCAUGCCGCGUGAAUGAUGAAGGCCCUAGGGUUGUAAAAUUCUUUCGACGGGGAAGAUAAUGACGGUACCCGUAGAAGAAGCUCCGGCUAACUUCGUGCCAGCAGCCGCGGUAAU